GGAGCAGUAUCGAAGUGGUCAUAACGAGGCGGACUCGAAAUCCGUUAGCCCUUCGGGGCCCGUGGGUUCGAAUCCCACCUGCUCCGCCA
RNAcentral lists this transfer RNA (89 nucleotides) under Dialister succinatiphilus. Its description in RNAcentral is "tRNA-Ser". It matches the Rfam family "tRNA". From Rfam's summary of the family: Transfer RNA (tRNA) molecules are approximately 80 nucleotides in length. Their secondary structure includes four short double-helical elements and three loops (D, anti-codon, and T loops). The record is from RNAcentral. Lineage: Bacteria; Bacillati; Bacillota; Negativicutes; Veillonellales; Veillonellaceae. RNAcentral also lists the same sequence under 3 other names.